CCUACGGGAGACAGCAGUGAGGAAUAUUGGUCAAUGGACGAGAGUCUGAACCAGCCAAGUAGCGUGAAGGAUGACUGCCCUAUGGGUUGUAAACUUCUUUUAUAUGGGAAUAAAAUGUUCCACGUGUGGGCUUUUGUAUGUACCAUAUGACUAAGGAUCGGCUAACUCCGUGCCAGCAGCCGCGGUAAUACGGAGGAUCCGAGCGUUAUCCGGAUUUAUUGGGUUUAAAGGGAGCGUAGGUGGAUUGUUAAGUCAGUUGUGAAAGUUUGCGGCUCAACCGUAAAAUUGCAGUUGAAACUGGCAGUCUUGAGUACAGUAGAGGUGGGCGGAAUUCGUGGUGUAGCGGUGAAAUGCUUAGAUAUCACGAAGAACUCCGAUUGCGAAGGCAGCUCACUGGACUGCAACUGACACUGAGGCUCGAAAGUGUGGGUAUCAAACAGGAUUAGAUACCCGUGUAGUC
RNAcentral lists this ribosomal RNA (460 nucleotides) under uncultured bacterium. RNAcentral's name for it is "partial 16S ribosomal RNA". It matches the Rfam family "Bacterial small subunit ribosomal RNA", at positions 338 to 795 of the family's 1533-position model. The record is from RNAcentral.